GACAGAGGGUGCAACCGUUGUUCGGAAUUACUGGGCGUAAAGCGCGUGUAGGCGGUCUGCUAAGUCGGGUGUGAAAGCCCCGGGCUCAACCCGGGAAGUGCACUCGAAACUGGCAGGCUAGAGUAUCGGAGAGGUUGGUGGAAUUCUCGGUGUAGAGGUGAAAUUCGUAGAUAUCGAGAGGAACACCGGUGGCGAAGGCGGCCAACUGGACGAAUACUGACGCUGAGACUCGAAAGCGUGGGGAGCAAACAGG
Molecule: ribosomal RNA, 253 nt
Filed under: uncultured bacterium
Lineage: Bacteria
Description: partial 16S ribosomal RNA
Rfam family: Bacterial small subunit ribosomal RNA
Source: RNAcentral